This 543-nucleotide ribosomal RNA is filed under the name uncultured Archaeorhizomycetes. Its description in RNAcentral is "eukaryotic LSU rRNA". It matches the Rfam family "Eukaryotic large subunit ribosomal RNA", at positions 198 to 760 of the family's 3401-position model. Lineage: Eukaryota; Fungi; Ascomycota; Archaeorhizomycetes. The record is from RNAcentral.
GCAAGUCACUGAGGGUGAGAACCCCGUCCGUGGCCCGGUGAUUGGCUCAGACGUGAGGCGGCCCCAAUGAGUCGGGUUGUUUGGGAAUGCAGCUCAAAAUGGGUGGUAAAUUUCAUCUAAAGCUAAAUAUUGGCAAGAGACCGAUAGCGAACAAGUAGAGUGAUCGAAAGAUGAAAAGCACUUUGAAAAGAGAGUGAAACAGUGCGUGAAAUUGUUGAAAGGGAAGCGCUUGGCAUCAGCCCAUGACUUUUGUCCAUCAUCCUGGCUUCUGCCUGGUGCUAUGGUCAAGAGUUGGGCCAGCGUCGGCUCCUUCCGCCCUAGAAAGGCCUUGGGGACGUGGCUCCAUCUGGAGCGUUAUAACCCUUGGCGGCAUGGGGUGAGAUGGGGCCGAGGUCCGCGGCAUAGCCCAGGACGCUGGCGUAAUGGUCCCAAGCGACCCGUCUUGAAACACGGACCAAGGAGUCUAACAUCUAUGCGAGUGUUUGGGUGUCAGGCCCGGCCGCGCAAUGAAAGUGAAAGGGGCGGGAGCCUAGAGGCGCACCG